GGAUGGGUGUCCGAGUGGUUUAAGGAACCGGUCUUGAAAACCGGCGUGCGUGAGAGCGUACCGUGGGUUCGAAUCCCACCCCAUCUGCCA
Molecule: transfer RNA, 90 nt
Filed under: Agrobacterium tumefaciens
Lineage: Bacteria; Pseudomonadati; Pseudomonadota; Alphaproteobacteria; Hyphomicrobiales; Rhizobiaceae
Also listed under: 187 other names
Description: tRNA-Ser (TGA) (tRNA-Ser-TGA-1-1)
Rfam family: tRNA
About the family: Transfer RNA (tRNA) molecules are approximately 80 nucleotides in length. Their secondary structure includes four short double-helical elements and three loops (D, anti-codon, and T loops).
Source: RNAcentral